RNAcentral lists this long non-coding RNA (600 nucleotides) under Coffea arabica (coffee). Its description in RNAcentral is "long non-coding RNA (CARA_LNC004010)". The record is from RNAcentral. Lineage: Eukaryota; Viridiplantae; Streptophyta; Magnoliopsida; Gentianales; Rubiaceae.
GUUAAGGUUGGGUCGACGGUCACCAGCUCACCUCUGUCCCCAAACUCAUCCCUGUAGGAAAGCAGCUGUCUUUGCCUAAUGUAGUGCGCUUCUGCAUCAGUCAGAGGUCCAUGGCUGAUUCGGGCCGAAUGAACAACCCCAAAAAAUGGCAAGAGAACCAACAAUGAGAGUAGAAAUAGGACAGGAUUGAGGUGAAACAAAGUUUCUUUCUUCAUCUCACAUGAGACAUCUGAGGCUGAAGAAAGAAAAUUGUCUAGUGUUUUUUGAGGAGCCUCACUUCACAGCUAUUUUGGUACUGUUAUCUUCUUCAAAUGUGAGAUGGUGGAGCUAAGAAGAGAUCAAGGAGAGGGGAAGAAAAUGGCGUUGAGGGAUUCGGGGUUUUGGAGAUUUUUGUGGGUGGUGGCAACUGGUAAUGGUGGUGGUGGUGCUGCUUGAGAAGAGAGAGAAAUAAAGGGGGAGACGGUGGAAUGGAAGGGCGUUUUCUAGGGAUUAUUAGUGUGAGUUUGUGUCUGUGAGAAUGUGAGGGGAUAGAAUGAGUGAGGAGAGAGAGAGAGAAAUAAGCACCCAAAAAAAAAAAAAAAAGAAAGAAAAAAUUACAGC